This 395-nucleotide ribosomal RNA is filed under the name Dictyochophyceae sp. Its description in RNAcentral is "partial small subunit ribosomal RNA". It matches the Rfam family "Eukaryotic small subunit ribosomal RNA", at positions 582 to 975 of the family's 1831-position model. Lineage: Eukaryota; Dictyochophyceae. The record is from RNAcentral.
AUUCCAGCUCCAAUAGCGUAUAUUAAUGUUGUUGCAGUUAAAAAGCUCGUAGUUGGAUUUCUGGUGGGGUUGUCGGCCUGGCUCCGAAAGGGGUCGUGGCUUGUACACACCUUGCCAUCCUCGGGGGUAGCUUUGCUGGCAUUAAGUUGUCGGCGGAGUGACGCUCGUCGUUUACUGUGAACAAAUUAGAGUGUUCAAAGCAGGCUUAGGCCGUUGAAUACAUUAGCAUGGAAUAAUGAGAUAGGACUUUGGUGGUCUAUUUUGUUGGUUUGCACGCCGAAGUAAUGAUUAAUAGGGGCGGUUGGGGGUAUUCGUAUUCAAUUGUCAGAGGUGAAAUUCUUGGAUUUAUGGAAGACGAACUACUGCGAAAGCAUUUACCAAGGAUGUUUUCAUUG